UCAGGCCUAACACAUGCAAGUCGAGCGGUAGCAGGAAGUGCUUGCACUUCGCUGACGAGCGGCGGACGGGUGCGUAACACGUAGGAAUCUGCCUGGUAGUGGGGGAUAGCCCGGAGAAAUCCGGAUUAAUACCGCAUACGCCCUACGGGGGAAAGGAGGGGAUCUUCGGACCUUUCGCUAUCAGAUGAGCCUGCGUCGGAUUAGCUUGUUGGUGGGGUAAAGGCCUACCAAGGCGACGAUCCGUAGCUGGUCUGAGAGGAUGAUCAGCCACACUGGGACUGAGACACGGCCCAGACUCCUACGGGAGGCAGCAGUGGGGAAUAUUGCACAAUGGGCGAAAGCCUGAUGCAGCCAUGCCGCGUGUGUGAAGAAGGCUCUAGGGUUGUAAAGCACUUUCAGUGGGGAGGAAAGGUUGAAGGUUAAUACCCUUCAGCUGUGACGUUACCCACAGAAGAAGCACCGGCUAACUCCGUGCCAGCAGCCGCGGUAAUACGGAGGGUGCGAGCGUUAAUCGGAAUUACUGGGCGUAAAGCGUGCGUAGGCGGCCAACCUAAGUUGGAUGUGAAAGCCCCGGGCUCAACCUGGGAACUGCAUCCAAAACUGGGUGGCUAGAGUACGGGAGAGGAGUGUGGAAUUUCCUGUGUAGCGGUGAAAUGCGUAGAUAUAGGAAGGAACACCAGUGGCGAAGGCGACACUCUGG
Molecule: ribosomal RNA, 700 nt
Filed under: uncultured bacterium
Lineage: Bacteria
Description: bacterial SSU rRNA
Rfam family: Bacterial small subunit ribosomal RNA
Source: RNAcentral